RNAcentral lists this transfer RNA (82 nucleotides) under Candidatus Pacearchaeota archaeon. RNAcentral describes it as "tRNA-Ser". It matches the Rfam family "tRNA". Rfam says of the family: Transfer RNA (tRNA) molecules are approximately 80 nucleotides in length. Their secondary structure includes four short double-helical elements and three loops (D, anti-codon, and T loops). The record is from RNAcentral. Lineage: Archaea; Nanobdellati.
GCCGACGUUGGACAGUGGUAGUCCGCUUGCUUGGAGAGCAAGUUUCCGCAAGGUUAUGCGGGUUCGAUUCCUGCCGUUGGCG